GGGUGGACAACGGUGUGUAUCAAAUGACACCCUGUUUCCUAUAUAGUGCACUACUUUUGACCAGAGCUCAAUGUCGCUGGCCAGAAGAAGUGCCCCCUUGGGUAUAGGGUGCGAUUUACGACACAUUCACAGACAGGACGGAAACCCCUGGGUUACAGUAACGUUUCAUUGUGUACAGGUCGGGUUCUUUUAUGGUCAUGCGACUGUGGGUUGCCAUCAGAUCUUUUCUUCUUCUCUAGUAUUUUGUGAAAGAUUUCCUGUCCACUGCCUCUGAACUGACAAGAUUACCGCAGAGAAAGAGGGAGGGGAAAAAAAGAGAGAGAGAGAGAGCGAAAGACAGAGCACGAAAGAGAGCGAAAGAGAGGAUUGUUCACAGCUUUGUGGAAGUUACCUGUGAUGCUGAUGGUUAGGCCAAGGCCGGUGGUGGCUGGUCCAUUCCAGAAGUCUGAGGUGCGGGAGGUUCCUCCGCCCCCUCUAGACAUCGAGGGUGCCCCGGCAUAUUCAGUUCGAUCUAUACUGGACUCGAGGCGUUGGGCAAGGGGCCUUCAGUACCUUGUGGAGUGGGAAGGGUACGGUCCGGAGGAGAGAUGCUGGGUUCCGGUGGAGGACGUGUUGGACCCUUCAAUGCUGCGGGAGUUCCACAGUCUCCAUCCAGAUCGCCAAGCACCUCGCCCUCCGGGUCGUCCCCGAGGUCAAAGGGGGGUACUGUCAUGACUUCCGCCGAAGUCGGUUCCUCUCCUUGUUCGGGCGGCGCUCGGCGGUUGACGGUCUUCUAGCCAUCGCCGAUCCACUUUUCAUUUUCCAUUGGUUUUGUCUUUGUUUCCCACACACCUGGUUUUCAUUUCCCAAUUACUAGUCAUGUAUUUAACCCUCUGUUUCCCCCAUGUCUUUGUGUGUGAUUGUUUAUUGUUCAGAUCGGUACGUUUCCGGCUGGUUUUUUCCGGGUGCUGUGUUCACCCGUGUUUUGUGGCAACCAUUA
Molecule: long non-coding RNA, 979 nt
Filed under: Salmo salar (Atlantic salmon)
Lineage: Eukaryota; Metazoa; Chordata; Actinopteri; Salmoniformes; Salmonidae
Description: lncRNA (ENSSSAG00000117170.1)
Source: RNAcentral